CAGCCGCCGCGGUAAUACCGGCGGCCCGAGUGGCGGUCACUAUUAUUGGGCUUAAAGCGUCCGUAGCCGGGUUGGGAAGUCCUCCGGGAAAUCUGGCCGCUUAACGGUCAGAAUGCCGGAGGAUACUCCCAGCCUAGGGAGCGGGAGAGGCCGAGGGGAUUCCCGGAGGAGGGGGGGAAUCCUAUAAUCCCGGGAGGACCACCUGUGGCGAAGGCGCUCGGCUGGAACGCGUCCGACGGUGAGGGACGAAGGCCAGGGGAGCAAACCGGAUUAGAUACCCGGGUAGUCCUGGCUGUAAACGAUGCGGACUUUGUGUCGGACAAGCUAUGAGCUUGUCCGGUGCCGGAGGGAAACCGUUAAGUCCGCCGCCUGGGGAGUACGGCCGCAAGGCUGAAACUUAAAGGAAUUGGCGGG
Molecule: ribosomal RNA, 414 nt
Filed under: uncultured microorganism
Description: bacterial SSU rRNA
Rfam family: Archaeal small subunit ribosomal RNA
Source: RNAcentral